CAUCGACAUUUUGAACGCAUAUUGCGCCCGCGGUUUAAUUAUUACAUUGCCGUGGGCACUCCAGAUCGAGGGUCGUAUGAAACAUUUUUUGUAUCCAUCUGAUUGAUUGAUUAUCUAUCAGCUAUGAGCUGUCGCGUUCACUGCGGUAAUGAUCUGCAUGUGAACUGCAGUGAACUUAGCGUCGCUUUAAAUUUACCAAGUUCAUUGGCCGGCCUUAGGCAAGUCGAUGACCAAUCGAACGAGAAAGGCAAGGUAACUACUUCUCUAAACUGCAACUCAGUAUGGUUCAUGUUUGGUUUGUUUCGUCAUCGUAUUAGUGACGCGAGGCGACCUGCCCAAAGAUCAAUCUGUCAGGUGCAUGGCAAUUUUGGUAGUGGUUUAACAUGACCGGGUUGCAGGUGUGAGACCUGCAGAGUUGUAUUUAUUGUCUAGAGCUUGCCCGUGGUUGGUGCAUUGCUAACUCUUUCACGACCUCGUUUCGGGAGAGAUUACCCGCCAAAUUUAAGCAUAUCAAUAAGCGGAGGAAAAGAAAU
Molecule: ribosomal RNA, 533 nt
Filed under: Mysis segerstralei
Lineage: Eukaryota; Metazoa; Arthropoda; Malacostraca; Mysida; Mysidae
Description: eukaryotic LSU rRNA
Rfam family: Eukaryotic large subunit ribosomal RNA (bases 469-533)
Source: RNAcentral